This is a non-coding RNA of Myotis lucifugus (little brown bat), 604 nucleotides long. NCBI's taxonomy places the organism in Eukaryota, Metazoa, Chordata, Mammalia, Chiroptera, Vespertilionidae. The record is from the annotation of a RefSeq genome assembly.
AUGCUCACACCCCGUACCAACUCAGGGAGCCUGGAACUCAUGCUGCAGGGGGAGCCGGGGGUGUGGGGGGGCUCAGGAGUGGGCUCCAGAGAGAGGUUUUUGUAUGAGCUUGUGUCACAGUGUUAUGUGUUCGGCGGAGGGACCCAGCUGACCGUCCUAGGUCAGCCCAAGUCUGCACCCUCCGUGUCUCUGUUCCCGCCAUCCGCUGAGGAGCUCGCCAACAACAAGGCCACACUGGUGUGUCUCAUGAGUGACUUCUACCCGGGCAGCGUGACGGUGGCCUGGAAGGCAAAUGGCACCCCCGUCACCCAGGGCGUGGAGACCACCAAGCCCUCCAAGCAGAGCAACAACAAGUACGCGGCCAGCAGCUACCUGAGCGUGUCCAGCCAAGACUGGAAGUCCGCCAGCGCCUACAGCUGCCAGGUCACGCACGACGGGAAGACCGUGGAGAAGACAGUGGCCCCCUCGGAGUGCUCCUAGGACCUGAGUCCUCUCACCCUUGGGGGCCUAGAGCUCCAGGACCCCCAGGAGGAUCUCCCUGCCUUCACACCCAUUCUUUCUUCUCCCUGCACCUGAUCAGCUCUCAAUAAAAUAUCCUUCUUGU